UACGUAGGGGGCAAGCGUUGUCCGGAUUUAUUGGGCGUAAAGAGCGUGUAGGCGGCCAGGUAGGUCUGCUGUGAAAACUCGAGGCUUAACCUCGAGAUGUCGGCGGAAACCAUCUGGCUAGAGUCCGGAAGAGGAGAAUGGAAUUCCCGGUGUAGCGGUGAAAUACGCAGAUAUCGGGAAGAACACCCGUGGCGAAGGCGGCUCUCUGGGCCUUUCCUGACGCUGAGACGCGAAAGCGUGGGGAGCGAACAGG
This 253-nucleotide ribosomal RNA is filed under the name uncultured bacterium. RNAcentral's name for it is "partial 16S ribosomal RNA". It matches the Rfam family "Bacterial small subunit ribosomal RNA", at positions 524 to 776 of the family's 1533-position model. The record is from RNAcentral.